AUACUUACCUGGCACAGAGGCUACCAUGAUCAAGAAGGUGGUUCCUCUAGGGAGAGGCUUUUUCCAUUGCACUUAGGAUCUGGCUGACCCCUGCGAAUACCCCUAAAGUGGGUAUCUCGGGCGUAUAAUUUUUGGUAGUCGGAACUGCGUUCGCGCUGCCCGGAA
Small nuclear RNA from Nylanderia fulva, 165 nucleotides. RefSeq annotates it as U1 spliceosomal RNA. Lineage: Eukaryota; Metazoa; Arthropoda; Insecta; Hymenoptera; Formicidae. The record is from RefSeq and is a predicted model, not a curated record.